CCUACGGGAGGCAGCAGUGGGGAAUCUUGGGCAAUGGCCGCAAGGCUGACCCAGCGACGCCGCGUGCGGGAGGAAGCCCUUCGGGGUGUAAACCGCUGUCAGAGGGGACGAACCUCCGCUUUCCGAACAGGGAGCGGACUGACGGUACCCUCAGAGGAAGCGCCGGCUAACUCCGUGCCAGCAGCCGCGGUAAGACGGAGGGCGCGAGCGUUGUUCGGAAUUACUGGGCGUAAAGCGCGCGCAGGCGGGUCUGCAAGUCGGAGGUGAAAUCCCGGGGCUCAACUCCGGGGCCGCCCCCGAAACUGCAGGUCUGGGGACCGGUAGAGGCCGGUGGAAUUCCCGGUGUAGCGGUGGAAUGCGUAGAGAUCGGGAAGAACACCCGUGGCGAAGGCGGCCGGCUGGGCCGGGUCCGACGCUGAGGCGCGAAAGCGUGGGGAGCA
RNAcentral lists this ribosomal RNA (440 nucleotides) under uncultured bacterium. RNAcentral's name for it is "bacterial SSU rRNA". It matches the Rfam family "Bacterial small subunit ribosomal RNA", at positions 338 to 770 of the family's 1533-position model. The record is from RNAcentral.